This 468-nucleotide ribosomal RNA is filed under the name uncultured bacterium. Its description in RNAcentral is "partial 16S ribosomal RNA". It matches the Rfam family "Bacterial small subunit ribosomal RNA", at positions 28 to 507 of the family's 1533-position model. The record is from RNAcentral.
GACGAACGCUGGCGGCGGGCUUAACACAUGCAAGUCGAACGGAAAGGCCCUGCUUUUGUGGGGUGCUCGAGUGGCGAACGGGUGAGGAACACGUGAGUAACCUGCCCUUGACUUUGGGAUAACUUCAGGAAACUGGGGCUAAUACCGGAUAGGAGCUCCUGCUGCAUGGUGGGGGUGGGAAAGUUUCGGCGGUUGGGGAUGGACUCGCGGCUUAUCAGCUUGUUGGUGGGGGAGUGGCUUACCAAGGCUUUGACGGGUAGCCGGCCUGAGAGGGUGACCGGCCACAUUGGGACUGAGAUACGGCCCAGACUCCUACGGGAGGCAGCAGUGGGGAAUAUUGCACAAUGGGAGGAAGCCUGAUGCAGCAACGCCGCGUGCGGGAUGCCGGCCUUCGGGUUGUAAACCGCUUUAGCCUGUGACGAAGCGUGAGUGACGGUAAUGGGUAAAGAAGCACCGGCUAACUACGUG